UCGGGAAUUUUGGGCAAUGGGCGAAAGCCUGACCCAGCAACGCCGCGUGAAGGAUGAAGUAUUUCGGUAUGUAAACUUCGAAAGAAUGGGAAGAAUAAAUGACGGUACCAUUUAUAAGCUCCGGCUAACUACGUGCCAGCAGCCGCGGUAAUACGUAGGGAGCAAGCGUUGUUCGGAUUUACUGGGCGUAAAGGGCGCGUAGGCGGCGUGUUAAGUCAGCUGUGAAAUCUCCAAGCUCAACUUGGAACGGCCAGCUGAUACUGAUGUGCUAGAGUGCAGAAGGGGCAAUCGGAAUUCUUGGUGUAGCGGUGAAAUGCGUAGAUAUCAAGAGGAACACCUGAGGUAAAGACGGGUUGCUGGGCUGACACUGACGCUGAGGCGCGAAAGCCAGGGGAGCAAACGG
Molecule: ribosomal RNA, 403 nt
Filed under: uncultured bacterium
Lineage: Bacteria
Description: bacterial SSU rRNA
Rfam family: Bacterial small subunit ribosomal RNA
Source: RNAcentral